AUUAGAUCUUUCUCUCUUCUUUUUCUUGAAUCAGAUUUGUAAUAUACUCUAUUAUUGGUGUUUCACAAUGGAGCUCUUGAGGUUUUUAUCAAAUCAUAUAGCAAGGAUAUAAGAGUGCAGGUUCACAUAUCAAAAGAUUCGAGAUACCAAGGCUAUAUUCGAUCUCCCUUAAUAUGAUGGUUUAUCCACUGUAUGUUCGGCUAUGUAACCUUUUAAGUGAGGAAGUAAGGAGGAAACAUUUUUGGACUCGCAAGCAUGUCUAGACUCGGGAAGUAACAGAAGUACUCUCUAAGGUAUCAUAAAGUAAAUGCACUAAAACUACAUUAUACAAUAUAUAGUAGUCAUGGUGUCUGGCCUUUGGUAGAGUAAUUCAUGAGGCCCGAGUCUAGGGUCAUAGAAACUCGAAAUAGUUAAAUGUCUCCCAAAGGGAGACUGGUAUGGGUAGACAAAGGUUGUCAUUUU
Molecule: long non-coding RNA, 462 nt
Organism: Erigeron canadensis
Lineage: Eukaryota; Viridiplantae; Streptophyta; Magnoliopsida; Asterales; Asteraceae
Exons: 3
Source: RefSeq, a predicted model, not a curated record